Molecule: long non-coding RNA, 819 nt
Filed under: Bos indicus x Bos taurus (hybrid cattle)
Lineage: Eukaryota; Metazoa; Chordata; Mammalia; Artiodactyla; Bovidae
Description: lncRNA (ENSBIXG00005014611.1)
Source: RNAcentral
CAGGUCCGGGAACCUUGGGCAUUUGACAUCCAAGACCUUCUUUUUGCCUUCCCUGAGGUCGGCUGUCACCUUCCGGCCUCCCCCACCGCUGCCCCUGUCGCCUCCUGCUGCAGCUCAGCCUGUCUGCCAUUUCACUCAUUCGCUUAAACCCACGACCUCCCGGGUCAUAAGGAAGAGGAUUUACCAAAGAAGUGGGCAAGCAGAAAUGAGGACCUCUUAAAGGAGCUAGCUGUGUUUAAGAAAAUUGAAAUUUGAAAGAUUCAGCUUGGCAAGGAUGCCCAUCACUUCUCUUUCUUCAGAGCUGUGUAAUUCUGGGAGCAUUUGGCUGUGGUGUGCUCAUACAUUUGGCCGGUGCAAAAUGACCAGGCACUUCAGCAUUCUGAAUGUCAAUGCCGGAAGUCUAUGACUGAGUUCACUAGGUUCCCUCAGUUUACAUGAAGGCAAGCCUUCCCGCCAACCAGAAAAGGUCCUCAGAGAAAUGGGAGUUGAGAGCUUUCACCAAAGAAAGUAAAAUCUCUAGGGAGAGAAACGCACUAGACUGACUGGCAAGAAGUUCAUAGAAACUGCUUCUGAUCCAUUUAAAGGACUCUCUGGGGACCCUCACCUAGGCCAGAGGAUAGAGAGGCAGUCCAGAGGACCAAGCCCCUCCCAGCUAUCCAAACCUAAAGGUCUUUGACUUUCAGGAAAGGUGGUAGAGUCCACUAAGGAUGUAAGAGAGCCUGGACAGGAGGAGGCUCUGCCUGAGAGGUUUCAUUUCACCUUGUCACUCUGGGGAACUUAAAAAAUAAAUAAAAGAAGUUAACAUUGCCCCCUUGUACU